Molecule: long non-coding RNA, 1007 nt
Filed under: Marmota monax (woodchuck)
Lineage: Eukaryota; Metazoa; Chordata; Mammalia; Rodentia; Sciuridae
Source: RNAcentral
AACCAGGGGCACUGAACCCCUGAGCCCCAUCCCCAGCCCUAUUCUGUAUUUUAUUUAGAGACAGGGCCUCACUGAGCUGCUUAGUGCCUCACCGUUGCUGAGGCUGGCUUUGAACUCGCCAUCCUCCUGCCUCAGCCUCCCUAGCCGCUGGGAUAAUAGGCGUGCUCCACCGCUCCUGGCUAGUGGUCCUUUUUUUUUUAAAAAAAUAUUUUAGUUGUAGAUGGAUACAAUACCUUUAUUUUGUUUAUUUGGUUUUUUAUGUGGUGCUGGGGAUCGAACCCAGGGCCUCAUGCAAGCUAGGCAAGCACUCUACCACCGAGCCCAGCCCUAGCCCUAGUUCUACUUUUUUAUAGAGACCCUUCUUUUUUUCCUCUCUCAUUUUUUUUUUUUUUUAGCAAUGGGGAUGGAACCCAGGGGUUCUCUGCCACUGAACUACACCUCUAGCCCUUUAAUUUUUUAUUUUGAGACAGGGUCUUGCUAACUUGCUUAGGGCCUCACUAAGUUGCUGAUGCUGACCUUGAAUUUGCAGUCCUCCUGCCCCAGGAGUCCUGGGAUUACAGUCCCAGGCAUGGCAACAGCGUCCAGGUUCUCCUUCUAGGAAAUGCCUGCAGUGUGUCUUGAUGCUUGUUUAUGCCCCCUGAGUCUGUGGAGUGGGAGGCAGGACUUGGAGGUGUCUGUGGCUCCAUAGCCCCUCAGCGCCCCAGCUGUGGUGAAGACUGAGAGGGCAGCAGCCAUGCUCCCUGAUGGUGGGGACACAGGUCCUGUGCUCCCUGAUGGUGGGGACGCAGGUUCCAUGACCAGACUGCACAUGAGGCCCUCAUGGGGCCGUGGGCUGUGGAAGUCCUGCACAGAGCCUCCUGUAUCCUGGAAGUGCCUUUUUUCCUUAUGUUUUGCAGUGCUGGGGAUGGAGCCCUGGGCCUCGGGCAUAUCACGCCAGUGCUGGGCCCCUCCUGUGAGACCUCUGCUACCUGAUACAGCAUGCAAGCCACCUAGGUAGCUGACGUACU